This 73-nucleotide transfer RNA is filed under the name Candidatus Poseidoniaceae archaeon. RNAcentral describes it as "tRNA-Ala". It matches the Rfam family "tRNA". Rfam says of the family: Transfer RNA (tRNA) molecules are approximately 80 nucleotides in length. Lineage: Archaea; Methanobacteriati; Thermoplasmatota; Candidatus Poseidoniia; Candidatus Poseidoniales; Candidatus Poseidoniaceae. The record is from RNAcentral.
GGGCGUUUAACUCAGUUGGAAGAGUACCUGGUUUGCAACCAGGAAGCCGUGGGUUCAAAUCCCACAACGUCCA